This 253-nucleotide ribosomal RNA is filed under the name uncultured bacterium. RNAcentral describes it as "partial 16S ribosomal RNA". It matches the Rfam family "Bacterial small subunit ribosomal RNA", at positions 524 to 776 of the family's 1533-position model. The record is from RNAcentral.
UACGUAGGGUGCGAGCGUUAAUCGGAAUUACUGGGCGUAAAGCGUGCGCAGGCGGUUUGCUAAGACCGAUGUGAAAUCCCCGGGCUUAACCUGGGAACUGCAUUGGUGACUGGCAGGCUAGAGUAUGGCAGAGGGGGGUAGAAUUCCACGUGUAGCAGUGAAAUGCGUAGAUAUGCGGAGGAACACCGAUGGCGAAGGCAAUCCCCUGGACCUGUACUGACGCUCAUGCACGGAAGCGUGGGGAGCAAACAGG